Molecule: ribosomal RNA, 743 nt
Filed under: Bacillus sp. WBUNB004
Lineage: Bacteria; Bacillati; Bacillota; Bacilli; Caryophanales; Bacillaceae
Description: bacterial SSU rRNA
Rfam family: Bacterial small subunit ribosomal RNA
Source: RNAcentral
UGCAGUCGAGCGAAUGGAUUAAGAGCUUGCUCUUAUGAAGUUAGCGGCGGACGGGUGCAGUAACACGUGGGUAACCUGCCCAUAAGACUGGGAUAACUCCGGGAAACCGGGGCUAAUACCGGAUAACAUUUUGAACCGCAUGGUUCGAAAUUGAAAGGCGGCUUCGGCUGUCACUUAUGGAUGGACCCGCGUCGCAUUAGCUAGUUGGUGAGGUAACGGCUCACCAAGGCAACGAUGCGUAGCCGACCUGAGAGGGUGAUCGGCCACACUGGGACUGAGACACGGCCCAGACUCCUACGGGAGGCAGCAGUAGGGAAUCUUCCGCAAUGGACGAAAGUCUGACGGAGCAACGCCGCGUGAGUGAUGAAGGCUUUCGGGUCGUAAAACUCUGUUGUUAGGGAAGAACAAGUGCUAGUUGAAUAAGCUGGCACCUUGACGGUACCUAACCAGAAAGCCACGGCUAACUACGUGCCAGCAGCCGCGGUAAUACGUAGGUGGCAAGCGUUAUCCGGAAUUAUUGGGCGUAAAGCGCGCGCAGGUGGUUUCUUAAGUCUGAUGUGAAAGCCCACGGCUCAACCGUGGAGGGUCAUUGGAAACUGGGAGACUUGAGUGCAGAAGAGGAAAGUGGAAUUCCAUGUGUAGCGGUGAAAUGCGUAGAGAUAUGGAGGAACACCAGUGGCGAAGGCGACUUUCUGGUCUGGUAACUGACACUGAGGCGCGAAAGCGUGGGGGAGCAAACCAGG